GAACUUAAGCAUAUCAAUAAGCGGAGGAAAAGAAACCAACAGGGAUUGCCUCAGUAACGGCGAGUGAAGCGGCAACAGCUCAAAUUUGAAAUCUGGCUCACGCCCGAGUUGUAAUUUGUAGAGGAUGUUUCGGGUGAAGCCGCGGUCCAAGUCCCUUGGAACAGGACGUCAUAGAGGGUGAGAACCCCGUACCUGGCCGCCGGUGCCCCCCGCUGUGAAACUCCUUCGACGAGUCGAGUUGUUUGGGAAUGCAGCUCUAAAUUGGUGGUAAAUUCCAUCUAAAGCUAAAUACCGGCCAGAGACCGAUAGCGCACAAGUAGAGUGAUCGAAAGAUGAAAAGCACUUUGAAAAGAGAGUUAAAAAGUACGUGAAAUUGUUGAAAGGGAAGCGCUUGCGGCCAGACUUGCCCGCGGUUGCUCAGCCCGCCUUUUGGCGGGUGCACUCUUCCGCGGCCAGGCCAGCAUCGGUUUGGGCGGUCGGAUAAAGGCGCUGGGAACGUGGCCUCCCCUCGGGGAGGUGUUAUAGCCCGGCGCGCAAUGCGACCAGCCCGGACCGAGGUUCGCGCUUUGCUAGGAUGCUGGCGUAAUGGCCGUAAGCGGCCCGUCUUGAAACACGGACCAAGGAGUCUAACAUCUAUGCGAGUGUUUGGGUGUCAAACCCGUGCGCGUAAUGAAAGUGAACGGAGGUGGGAACCGCAAGGUGCACCAUCGACCGAUCCUGAUGUCUUCGGAAGGAUUUGAGUAAGAGCAUGGCUGUUGGGACCCGAAA
This 768-nucleotide ribosomal RNA is filed under the name uncultured fungus. Its description in RNAcentral is "eukaryotic LSU rRNA". It matches the Rfam family "Eukaryotic large subunit ribosomal RNA", at positions 30 to 821 of the family's 3401-position model. Lineage: Eukaryota; Fungi. The record is from RNAcentral.